This is a non-coding RNA of Vicugna pacos (alpaca), 3648 nucleotides long. The record is from RefSeq and is a predicted model, not a curated record. Lineage: Eukaryota; Metazoa; Chordata; Mammalia; Artiodactyla; Camelidae.
GGCCAGGUUUGGCGGGCAGGAGAGCUGGGGGGGGUAGGGGUGGAGCAGACCCCCGAGGUGCCUGGGAAGCCCAGAGGGGAAGGCGGGGAGGAGGAGGGGAGGGCAGCGCCAGGGCGUUGCUCCAGUGGAGGGGGGACAUCCCUGGGCAUUGCUUUUCUAAUCCGUUACUUUUCACUUUUUUUCUCUGCUUACUUAAAUAUGUUUUAAGGUCAUCAGUUUUCCUUUGAGGACCAUUUUAACUGAAUCCCCUAGGAUCUGCUUUCUACCAUGUUGAAGUUUGAAUGGACAUAUGUUUUCAUUCCUCCUGGGCAAAUAACCCAGAUGCAGGAUGAUGGCUGGUGAUGCAAUGGAAGGAACUCAGUCCCUCCGUCCAGCCAUCCGGUCAGCUACGAGUCAGCCCGGAGGAGUGGAGCGGACGCGGGCUGGAAUCAGAUGGACUGGAUGUGUCCCCAGCCCAGACCCUUCCUGUCCGGCCUUGCUUUCCUCCGUAAAGCGAGGGUGGAGCAAAAUACCUGGUUUCCCACCCAACACUGCUGUCGGGUUCUAGAGUUUUCCUCCACUUUUUCUGAUCCUCUCCCCUCUUCUGUUUUUUUUUUUUUUUCCCUCCUGUCUUCUAUUUCAGGCCAAAGUGUUUUUGCCUUGAAAGCUCUGAUUUUCAUUUGACAGGCAGCCACCCCAGAGCCAUGGGCCACGAGCCAUCGGGCCUGCCUUGAGUGACGCCUGUCCUCUUUUUCCCAGUCCCUCCAGCACAUGAGAUUUCCUCUAGGGCACUGCAAAGGUUUUUUCCGGAGCUGGAGUUCCCCAGUUGCUGAGCCAGAGUUACCUGACCCCCACUGUGUCCCCAGAGAGGUGUAAUUAUGCCAUCAAAUUCUCAUUGGCUCUGCUUCAAGGAUAAGGAGGCUGCUGCCCAGAGAGGUUGUUCAACUUGUACAAAGUCACACAGGUCAUCUUCCAAACCAGAUUGUCUGACUCCAAAGUCCCCACCCCACACUGCUCUCCAAGGACUUGGCUCCUCUGGCCAGGGUCUGCCUGGGCCUGUGGGAAGAGCCCUGAAGGCACCCCGAGGAGCCCAUCUAGACCUUAGAAAUAGAGCUGCUCUUAAAACUAAAUUUCAAAUCAGUCUAUUAUGUAACAGAGACGUGCACAGUCUUCUUAGAGGGUGAACAGCCCCCAGGGAUACAAAGGAAGCUGAGUGAAGGCUGCGAGUAGAGAGAUGGGCAUGCUCAGCGGUGUGGCCCUUGGUGGUAGGGGGUCCAGCCGUGUUUUGUCUGGGAUCAGGCACAUCUGAGUCGUCUGGAGGGCUGGGGGACACCCCCCUAAGUCUUUUUGCCUCCUGGGAAGUGCUCUCCUACAGAAAGAGAGAACAGAGGUACAACAGCCCACCAGUUCAUCCAUCCAUCCAUUCAGUGACUACUGAGCCUUGACUAUGUGUGAGGGACUGUUCUGGAGUCUGGAGUGCACUGAUAGAAUGUUGGAGGGAGGGGCUGCAAUAGAAGAGACAUCAAAAGGGAACAGGCAGUGGUCUUGGCAGGAGGCGGAGCCUGAGCUUCAGCAGCUUGAAGGGCCAGGGAAGCCCACACCAUUGCAGGCAGCAGGAGAGGGGAGCCAUGCAGGGGCCGGCUCAGGGUGCUGUGCCUGUGCCCCAGGACCCCCAGGCCCUGUGACCCUCUCCAGAGAGAGGACUGGGAAGACUCCAUCUCUGGGAGAAAGUAGUCCAGUCCUUGUCACACCUCAUUUACUCAUUGUCAUUAAAAGCAUGGCUUCUGAUUUAUACAUCAGCCAUAUAAACCUGGCUAAUGUGAGUCUUCCCUGGAAGCCAAUCUGUGCUCUGGUUCUGGCACAAUACUGAGCUCUCUGAGUUGGGUCAGCUGAGGGUAAAUGCUGCCUCAGGAGGCUCUUGGGGAACGACCAGCCGGUUUCAGCCACCAAAAACUUAGCAAGCAAGACGUCAUGUUUAGUUGAAGCACAAAGAUCGUGAAGCCUAGUGGUGAGAAGCCAGAUGAAUUCCUAUCACCCCAGGCUUUUCCCGCCAGGUUUUCCCCAGCUUUGGCAGCCUAAGCCAGGACUGGGGUCAUGCAUGAUGUGAGCUGGGAAGAGAUCCACGUUAUCUCUGCUGUGGUCUGAAAAAGAGUGUGGCUGGGGGCUGGGCCACUCCUUCCUGGUGUGGGAGGCAGUAGGUGUUGGCCCUGUCCUGGGCUCACCUGUCUACCUGCUGUCUUUGGGUUUCCUUACUCCGGAGGGUGGUCACUGCAGGCUGGAUUCCCAUAAACUUCAUAUAUUUGAUAUUCAGUCUGCUCUGAAAUGAGAUUCUGGGAUCCAUUGUUUUUGGAGGUUUUGACAGGAUGCACAAGGAGCCAGAUAAAAUUGAAAUAAAGUUGCAAUCGCUGAGUUAAUGACUGUGACAAUAAAAAUAAUUCAGAACCAAAUUAAUGCAACAUUAGGGCUCAUCAUUAUACUAAUAAUCUUCACACAGCAAUACAAAAACAACAAUUGUUUGGGGAGGAAUGAUUCAUUCCACGGGAGAACAGAGUUUUGGGAAAAUCUCAGAAUUUCCUUCUGCAGUCUGAAGAGGGAGAAAGGCAAGCUAAGGUUUUCCGACUUACUGUGACAAAGAGAUAGUCCCUGUGCUUAGGGGUCACCCAGCUCACCAGGUGGGGGGGACAGCCUUAAAUGACUGUAAAGCGAAGUGGCCUUGAGAGGAAGAGGGCCAUAGGGAAGGUUUCCUGGAGGCAGCAGCAUUGAGCAGAGGAAAGAGGAGUAGCAUCCAUUGGGUCUCAACCCCUCCAUGCCUCCCUCUCCUCUGCAUCCAGCUGCAGUCUGGCUUUUGUCCCUUCUUCACCUCCGAAAUGCUCUUAUCAAGUGACCUUCACGUUGUGAGCAGAUCCAGACACGGGCCCUAGGUCCUCAUCUUCCCUGACUCCCAGCAAGCUUCCACGGCCUCUGGGUUCCCACCAGCAUCACUGAACCCUUUUUCUGUCUCCUCUGCUGGCUCUGCUUCCCUUCUGACCUCUGGACACCUGCGGGCUCCAGGCUGAGCCGUCCCUUCACUCCUCCCUGUCUCCCAGCUCCCUGUCCAUCGCAUCCUGGACACUCACUGUCCACUCUUGACCCUUCUGACCGCCACCCUCAGGCAUCUCAAUGUCUGUGCAACGCCUCCCUGCGGUGUCUAAUACACGUUUUUAAAACCAGACUUCAUAAUACAGAAAAAUGCACACCUCCUAAGAGCCUAGCUCGAUGCCAUUCCACAAAGUGAAUACACUGGGGCAUCAGCUCCCGGAUCAAGAAAGAGAACAUUGCAGCUAAAGGGAGCCCCUCCUGGCCCCUGUGGCCUCACCACGCCAGUGUGGCCAUGUCCUGACUCUGUCACCUGAGAUAUUCUCCCCUGGCUUGGACUGAACAUGAAUGGAAUCAUAGGAAACCUGCUCUGGUGUCUGGCUUCUUCAGCUCCGUGUUGUGUUUGUGGGACUCGUCCAUGUUCCUGUGUAGCUGUAGUCCAUCCUUUUUGUUGCUGUAGAGGGUAUUCCUUUGUAUGAAUAUACCACAGUUUAUUCAUUCUGCUCCUGAUUGGCCUUUGUGUUGUUUCCAUUUUUAGAAUUAGGAAUAUUCCUGGUAGAGGAGGCUAACGGCUCGGUUUUACUCCUUACUUUG